RNAcentral lists this ribosomal RNA (268 nucleotides) under uncultured bacterium. RNAcentral's name for it is "partial 16S ribosomal RNA". It matches the Rfam family "Bacterial small subunit ribosomal RNA", at positions 793 to 1055 of the family's 1533-position model. The record is from RNAcentral.
GUCCAUGCCGUAAACGUUGGGCACUAGGUGUGGGGUCCAUUCCACGGAUUCCGCGCCGUAGCAAACGCAUUAAGUGCCCCGCCUGGGGGAGUACGGCCGCAAGGCUAAAAACUCAAAAGGAAUUGACGGGGGGCCCGCACAAGCGGCGGAGCAUGCGGAUUAAUUCGAUGCAACGCGAAGAACCUUACCAAGGCUUGACAUACUUGAGAAGCCACCAGAGAUGGUGGUCUCUUUGGACACUCAUGUACAGGUGGUGCAUGGUUGUCGU